CCCUUAGAUGUUCUGGGCCGCACGCGCGCUACACUGGUUCAGUCAACGAGUUCAUUUCACCUUGAUCGAGAGGUCUGGGUAAUCUUCGAAACUGAAUCGUGAUGGGGAUAGUUCAUUGUAAUUGUUGAACUUAAACGAGGAAUUCCUAGUAAACGUGAGUCAUCAGCUCACAUUGAUUACGUCCCUGCCCUUUGUACACACCGCCCGUCGCUACUACCGAUUGAGCAUUAGGGUGAAAUCUUCGGACCGUGGCAUACUUCUGGCCUAGCCAGUCUUUGUCCGUGGGAGGUCGCUUAAAUCCUGAUGCUUAGAGGAAGUAAAAGUCGUAACA
RNAcentral lists this ribosomal RNA (331 nucleotides) under uncultured eukaryote. RNAcentral's name for it is "partial 18S ribosomal RNA". It matches the Rfam family "Eukaryotic small subunit ribosomal RNA", at positions 1470 to 1796 of the family's 1831-position model. The record is from RNAcentral.